ACGAACGCUGGCGGCGUGCUUAAGACAUGCAAGUCGAGCGAGGGGAUUCUUUCAGCUUGCUGUGAGGGUCUCCUAGCGGCGGACGGGUGAGUAACGCGUGGGCAACCUACCCGCGAAUCGGGGACAACAGUGGGAAACCGCUGCUAAUACCGGAUGAGCUUUGCUUGCUGCAUGGCAGGCAAAGGAAAGGCAGCCUCUGCUUAGCAAGCUGUCGUUCACGGAUGGGCCCGCGUCCCAUUAGCUAGUUGGUGGAGGUAACGGCCCACCAAGGCGACGAUGGGUAGCCG
RNAcentral lists this ribosomal RNA (287 nucleotides) under uncultured bacterium. RNAcentral's name for it is "partial 16S ribosomal RNA". It matches the Rfam family "Bacterial small subunit ribosomal RNA", at positions 29 to 289 of the family's 1533-position model. The record is from RNAcentral.